AAUCAUGUAUUUUGUUGUGGAGUUCCUUGACAACUCUGUUGGGAUUGUAAGCAACAGCUGGACUAAUGGUGACAAUUCGAUGACCUUCUGGCCACCUUAUGCAGAUCCAAAUAAAUUUAAAAUGGCUCUAUUAACACAUGCAGUCCCUGGACCAGCGUGGACCACCCACACCAUCACAGUUUUGGGCACUGCAGAUGACUAUGAAAAGGCGAGAAAAAAGGCCAAAAUGGCAGAAACACAUUUAGCUGUCGCCAGUGAGCCUGAGGAGUUGGAGAGAUGCCAGCGUUCAAGACAACCAACGAAACGUUACAUCACCCUGCCUGAGCCUGGACCAAGUAGACCAUUGCCACCAGU
Long non-coding RNA from Neoarius graeffei (lesser salmon catfish), 354 nucleotides. RefSeq lists it as uncharacterized. The transcript is spliced from 3 exons. The record is from RefSeq and is a predicted model, not a curated record. Lineage: Eukaryota; Metazoa; Chordata; Actinopteri; Siluriformes; Ariidae.